GAUGAACGCUGGCGGCGUGCUUAAUACAUGCAAGUCGCGCGAACGGACGAGAAGCUUUCUUUUCUGAUGUUAGCGGCGGACGGGUGAGUAACACGUGGAUAACCUACCUAUUAUACUUGGAUAACUUCGUGAAACCGGAGCUAAUACCUGAUAAUAUUUUGAACCGCAUGGUUCAAAAGUGAUAGACGGUCUUGCUGUCACUUAUAGAUGGAUCCGCGCUGCAUUAGCUAGUUGGUAAGGUAACGGCUUACCAAGGCAACGAUGCAUAGCCGACCUGAGAGGGUGAUCGGCCACACUGGAACUGAGACACGGUCCAGACUCCUACGGGAGGCAGCAGUAGGGAAUCUUCCGCAAUGGGCGAAAGCCUGACGGAGCAACGCCGCGUGAGUGAUGAAGGUCUUCGGAUCGUAAAACUCUGUUAUUAGGGAAGAACAUAUGUGUAAGUAACUGUGCACAUCUUGACGGUACCUAAUCAGAAAGCCACGGCUAACUACGUG
This 497-nucleotide ribosomal RNA is filed under the name uncultured bacterium. RNAcentral's name for it is "partial 16S ribosomal RNA". It matches the Rfam family "Bacterial small subunit ribosomal RNA", at positions 28 to 507 of the family's 1533-position model. The record is from RNAcentral.